This 442-nucleotide ribosomal RNA is filed under the name uncultured bacterium. Its description in RNAcentral is "SSU rRNA". It matches the Rfam family "Bacterial small subunit ribosomal RNA", at positions 26 to 518 of the family's 1533-position model. The record is from RNAcentral.
AGAACGAACGCUGGCGGCAGGCUUAACACAUGCAAGUCGAACGCCCCGCAAGGGGAGUGGCAGACGGGUGAGUAACGCGUGGGAAUCUACCUGGUUCUACGGAAUAACUGAGGGAAACUUCAGCUAAUACCGUAUACGCCCAAGGGGGAAGAUUUAUCGGUGCCAGAUGAGCCCGCGUUGGAUUAGCUAGUUGGUAGGGUAAUGGCCUACCAAGGCGACGAUCCAUAGCUGGUCUGAGAGGAUGAUCAGCCACACUGGGACUGAGACACGGCCCAGACUCCUACGGGAGGCAGCAGUGGGGAAUAUUGGACAAUGGGCGAAAGCCUGAUCCAGCCAUGCCGCGUGAGUGAUGAAGGCCUUAGGGUUGUAAAGCUCUUUCAGUGGGGAAGAUAAUGACGGUACCCACAGAAGAAGCCCCGGCUAACUUCGUGCCAGCAGCCGC